AGCAGCCGCGGUAAUUCCAGCUCCAAUAGCGUAUAUUAAAGUUGUUGCAGUUAAAAAGCUCGUAGUUGAAUUUCGGGGUUAGUAGGCUGGUCGUGCCACAGGUAUGCACUGGUCUUACUGAUUCCUCCUUCCUGAUGAGCCGUAAUGCCAUUAAUUUGGUGUUGCGGGGAGUCUGGACUGUUACUUUGAAAAAUUAGAGUGUUUAAAGCAGGCUAACGCUUGAAUACAUUAGCAUGGAAUAACGAAAUAGGACGUUCGAUCCUAUUUUGUUGGUUUCUAGGAUUGACGUAAUGAUUAAUAGGGAUAGUUGGGGGCAUUAGUAUUCAAUUGUCAGAGGUGAAAUUCUUGGAUUUAUUGAAGACUAACUACUGCG
Molecule: ribosomal RNA, 373 nt
Filed under: uncultured Glomeromycotina
Lineage: Eukaryota; Fungi; Glomeromycota
Description: SSU rRNA
Rfam family: Eukaryotic small subunit ribosomal RNA
Source: RNAcentral